Long non-coding RNA from Bemisia tabaci, 1685 nucleotides. RefSeq lists it as uncharacterized. The record is from RefSeq and is a predicted model, not a curated record. NCBI's taxonomy places the organism in Eukaryota, Metazoa, Arthropoda, Insecta, Hemiptera, Aleyrodidae.
AUGGCAGUCUUGAUAAGAAUGAUAAGAAGGAAGGAGAUGAGUGGAAUAACAACAAACAACAACCGGUCGGAAUUUAGCCUUGAAGGGGCCGAGGAGCCCCGAAACGCAUCGGCAAUUUUAAUUUAUUUUUCACAAAUCACUGAGACAGUACAAUAGAAAAAUGCAAAUGAAGUAAAUCAACUUACCCCGUUAAAAGUAUGUGAGCACUGCGAGCAAGAGAAACUUUUUCGCUUCAGAUGAAUUUUCCUAUGUUUUUCCAGCCCUUCAUGCGUUAUGAACGUUCUGGUGCAGUCAGGGCAUGGCACCUUACUCUUCAAAUGAGACUGCUCGUGCUGCUCUAGGUUGACCUUCCGAUUUAAAACCUAGGGGUGAACAAGAAAAUAUUCUUUAGUGAAGCUCUUGGAAUCGAAUAAACCUUCCUUCUUGAGAUGUUUGAUGCUCCCUGUUGUGCCACGAAUUUUCGUUGCUCAUCCAUGAAUUUUUGUGAUCUCUACACCGCUGCAAUGGACCCAACAUUCCGACAAUCGGUGCUGAACAUAGCAUUUAGACAGUGUUGUUGGUCCCCAGCCCUACAUGCAGAUGGAUGGAAACGUUACUUGCUUGCGCUGGAACUUGUGAUGCUGAUGGAACACAAAAACUGCUUACCGAAAACUUGGCACCACAAGAACCCUGAGUGCCAGGCCCUUGGCAGUCAAUGUCAUUAAAAUAACUGUCAAAAUUCAGACACCACGAUUUGGAACUCACAUUGAAAUCCGAUCAAGACUUUAACAAAUGACAAGUGCCUUUGGAAAUGCCAGUAAAGGCAGUUGAAAUACAGGAAAAAAAUUUCAGGGUUAUCAAUACUUAAAAAAGAAGGAAAUAGAGGCAGCUGUUUUGCAAACUUUAGAGGCGUUUCUUUAAUCUUGUUUUAAGUAUAAAGAACUCUCUCCACAAGAUUUGAAGCAAUCAAACUUGAGCUAAGAAAAAUUAGACCAUUUAAAAAAUUUUUGGACAACCGCAGGUUUCCGAAGUACUUGGGUGCCAUUAAUUUGAAGACCAUACCCGAUAGUUGAGUAAUCUUUGCCUCUAUAUUCUUCAUUUUUUUCUGAUUCAUUUUUGUGACUUAUCUGUCUCCCAAAAUUACAUUGGCGACUUGCACCAGUGUUUUUUCCCGCUAUUUUCUUCCUUUCUUUCCUGGUUGAGGAAGGAAAGGUGAUCUCUGAACUAUCCUACUGUUUUUAGUUUUUAUUUACAGACCACGUACCAUUUUAAGUUGUUAGUGUAUUGUGCAUUUAGGUUGAUUGAGUAGUUCUAUCACAGUAUUAACAAAUAGAAAAAGAGGAAAGAAGUAAUUUGUUCAAUACCUUAAAUGAGCUAUGAACUGACAAAAGGUGUCUUCUUAGGAUGCUUUUCCGAUGGAACUUCUUAUCACAAAUCUGACACUCAAAUUCUGGCUCUCCUAAAAAUUUGCAGAACAAAAUUACAUUAAAAUAAAAUUAGAGGCUUCGAGUAUUUUAACUUCUCCCUUCACAUGUCAAAACUAGGGAUCCCCAUUAACUCAUGAUAAGUGAGCCCAGGUACGACAGUUAGAAUGCUUACAAAGAAGGAAAUCCAUCAGUGUAUUAAAAUUUCUCUCACAGCACAGAAAACUCAACAGAAUUGUAACUAAGUUAACGACAAAUUUUAAAUAAAGGCAUUUAUCAUAA